Molecule: RNA transcript, 1335 nt
Organism: Drosophila albomicans
Lineage: Eukaryota; Metazoa; Arthropoda; Insecta; Diptera; Drosophilidae
Exons: 3
Source: RefSeq, a predicted model, not a curated record
UAGUCACAUUUCAAAGUGAGUUCUAGAGUAAUACAACCAAAAAUAAAUGUGAAACAAAGAUUCUAUUUUGAAAAAUGGAUUUGUUCGUUUAUUCUGUUUGUGUGAGCGUCUUUGUAGUUUUUCUUUUGCUUGUGCUGAUCUAUAAGUUCUUCGAACAGAAGAAAAAGAAGGAGGAGGAAAUGCAGCCAAUUUGUUUGAAUAUAUGGAAUGACACGAAAACUAAAGCUCGAAAAUUAGUUGUAAUCGAGGGAUUUAUUUACGAUGUGACCGAAGAAGCAGCAACAAGUUAAUGAAACAUUGAGAAAUCAGCUGAAUAUAUACAUAUACUCUAAUUUUUUCAUAGUAUUUGUUUUUUAUAAUUUUACAAUGGCACAACUCGUCUAACUAAUGCCAAAAACGGAUUAAAUGGAUUAACGUGCGCCGCCUUCAAGGAGCGCAAAACGAAAGACUUAGGCAAAAAACUUGAAAUGUCCAAGCCAAGUGCCGACAGCAGAGUUGUCGGGAAAAAUUAUUAUGCAGCAGCAAUUACUCGCCAAUUGUCGACGAUAAAAACAAGCAAAGAGAACGGCGAGAGAAGAGAGAAAAACUUGCCACCUGAGAUGUGUCUAAAAGGCGAUAAUCCCGACAACAACUAUCGAGAGUCCGACCGAGUCUUUGUGUGGAGUCUAGACAACGGUUCUAUGUUGGUUCCUGGUUAUGACCAAAUGCAGCAGCGGGAGCUAACACAGCGGCAGCCUCUAGGUGAUUAUUUUUAUUAUAAUUGUGCGUUUAUUGGCGUGAGGAAAUGUUCGAAUGAAUCCGAGUCCCAUUCCCAUUCCCGUUAACAUCUUUUGCAGUUAACUGAUAUUGAGGCCCCCAUCUAAUUGUGUCGCCAACUGGCCCGAACAUUGUGCUAAUGACGACGACACCUUCAACGAAGGCGACACAAUCUUUGAGCGCUGACUGGCGGCAACACUUUUGGUGCCCCGCCAGCUUCUCUCCUCCUCCUCCUCCUCAGACCUUAGCGAUUGCAUCGCCAAUGCAACGUAACUCAAGCAUCCCACUAAUUUUGCCAUAUAUGUCCAAGUGGUACGGCCAACGGCAACAAACGGUGGCAACAUCAACGGAGCAACAGCAACGGAGCAACAUCAACGCCAACGGCAACGACUUUAGCAAAACGGCAACAGCUUUGAUUUGCAGCGCAAACUUGGCGCUUGUCGUACAACAUUUUUGCCAAGACAUGAAUUUUGGCCAUUUCUAUGACCAUUUAGCCAUUCAAAAGACUUUUGCCGACAAAAUGCAUAGAUAAUUCUUCCUAUCAGCAUGCUUGUAUCAUCAUUAAAACUAGCAGAGAUC